Long non-coding RNA from Perognathus longimembris pacificus (Pacific pocket mouse), 340 nucleotides. RefSeq lists it as uncharacterized. The transcript has 3 exons. NCBI's taxonomy places the organism in Eukaryota, Metazoa, Chordata, Mammalia, Rodentia, Heteromyidae. The record is from RefSeq and is a predicted model, not a curated record.
UAACUUGAAGUUCAUUUCGCUUAGCAUCAUCUUACAUGUUCAUAUGGGCAUUGCUAUUGAGCUGUUGUGAUCUUCUGCUAUGUAUAUCCUGGAUAUGUACUACUUAUUCCUUAUGAGGGAAACGAUAGGAUUUAUGUUUCUUUGGGUCUGGGUCACUUCAUUUAGUUUUUUCCAAGUUCUUCCAUUUCUUUAAGAAUGGGACAGUAUCAUUCUUUGUAAUAGAGGCAUAGCAUUCCAUGGUGUAUAUGUACCACAUUUUUUGGAUCCACACACCAGCUGAGGAGCAUCUGGGUUGGUUCCAUGUUUUAGCAAUGACAAAUUGUGUUGGGAUGAAAAUAGC